CAGACCACCAGCUAAGGUCCCAAAAUAUAUGUUAAGUGGAAAAGGAUGUGGCGUUGCCCAGACAACUAGGAUGUUGGCUUAGAAGCAGCCAUCAUUUAAAGAGUGCGUAAUAGCUCACUAGUCGAGUGACACUGCGCCGAAAAUGUACCGGGGCUAAACAUAUUACCGAAGCUGUGGAUUGUCCUUUGGACAAUGGUAGGAGAGCGUUCUAAGGGCGUUGAAGCAUGAUCGUAAGGACAUGUGGAGCGCUUAGAAGUGAGAAUGCCGGUGUGAGUAGCGAAAGACGGGUGAGAAUCCCGUCCACCGAUUGACUAAGGUUUCCAGAGGAAGGCUCGUCCGCUCUGGGUUAGUCGGGUCCUAAGCUGAGGCCGACAGGCGUAGGCGAUGGAUAACAGGUUGAUAUUCCUGUACCACCUAUAAUCGUUUUAAUCGAUGGGGGGACGCAGUAGGAUAGGCGA
Molecule: ribosomal RNA, 458 nt
Filed under: Staphylococcus aureus
Lineage: Bacteria; Bacillati; Bacillota; Bacilli; Caryophanales; Staphylococcaceae
Description: partial 23S ribosomal RNA
Rfam family: Bacterial large subunit ribosomal RNA
Source: RNAcentral